UACAUCUCUUUUACUGUCCAUAACAUACUGUAACUUAGCUUUGGAGCUUUGGGGUGCUCCCUUUCAAGGUCUCAAGUUCGCUGGGUGCAAACAAUUUCUGAGGGCCAUCGGACUGGGUGAAAACCCUGAAUUACCCGUGGUGCACUUGCGGGAAACUCCUUGCUGAGGGCCUGUGCACCCCCGGGAUUAGUCGGGACUCGAAGAGUCUCGGAUACCCGGUGCAAGUCAAAAAAAUAACAUACUGUAACUUACAUGAAUUCCUCUAAAAAUAUGCAUGUCUAAUCUGGUAGUAUUCUGAAUUUGGCUGAUCAUGAAUGAAUGUGAAUGCAUACAUGCAGAUGGGUAUUGGGCCAUUUAAUUUUGCAGGGCAGCCACCAGGGAAGCAUGAGUUCGCUCACAUGUAACAAAUAAGAAGGAAGUUUCCGUUGAAAAAAUAACAGAUUGAAUAAACAGACAUAAAAGGGAAAUAAGAUCACAGAUUGAAUUGACCGACAUAUAUAAGGGAAUUACGUGAAUUCAGAUUUUUAUAAACCUCAACAAAAAAGAGACAUGUCAACAAUAACUGAUAAGUGUAAUCAAACUGGAUGCAAAAGUUUCCCUGUAAAUGGAAGUUUGACAAUGCAAACCUGAUGUAACUCGUACCAGAUCAAGAUGGACUUCACA
This 663-nucleotide long non-coding RNA is filed under the name Capsicum annuum. Its description in RNAcentral is "long non-coding RNA (CANN_LNC004140)". The record is from RNAcentral. Lineage: Eukaryota; Viridiplantae; Streptophyta; Magnoliopsida; Solanales; Solanaceae.